RNAcentral lists this unclassified non-coding RNA (304 nucleotides) under plant metagenome. RNAcentral describes it as "partial contains 5.8S ribosomal RNA, internal transcribed spacer 2, and large subunit ribosomal RNA". The stretch from base 1 to 104 matches the Rfam family "5.8S ribosomal RNA", at positions 51 to 154 of the family's 154-position model. The record is from RNAcentral.
AAAUGCGAUAAGUAGUGUGAAUUGCAGAAUUCAGUGAAUCAUCGAAUCUUUGAACGCACAUUGCGCCCUUUGGUAUUCCUUAGGGCAUGCCUGUUCGAGCGUCAUCUAAACCUUCAAGCCCUGCUUGGUGUUGGGUGCCUGUCCCGCCUCCGCGCGCGGACUCACCUCAAAUCCAUUGGCGGCCCCCGCGUCGGCCACGAGCGCAGCAGAAACGCGAACUCGUGAGCCCGUCCGGGCGGCUCCCAGAAGCUACACCCACCCAGUUUGACCUCGGAUCAGGUAGGGAUACCCGCUGAACUUGAGC